Molecule: ribosomal RNA, 305 nt
Filed under: uncultured bacterium
Lineage: Bacteria
Description: bacterial SSU rRNA
Rfam family: Bacterial small subunit ribosomal RNA
Source: RNAcentral
CCCUACGGGAGGCAGCAGUGAGGAAUAUUGGUCAAUGGGCGGGAGCCUGAACCAGCCAAGCCGCGUGAAGGAAGAAGGCGCCAAGCGUCGUAAACCUCUUUAGGCGGGGAGCAAUGCCGGGCACGCGUGCCCGGAGGGAGAGUACCCGCAGAAUAAGCAUCGGCUAACUCCGUGCCAGCAGCCGCGGUAAUACGGAGGAUGCGAGCGUUAUCCGGGUUUAUUGGGUUUAAAGGGUGCGUAGGCGGAUUUUUAAGUCAGCGGUAAAAUGUCCGGGCUCAACCCGGGCCGGCCGUUGAAACUGGGGG